This 499-nucleotide ribosomal RNA is filed under the name uncultured bacterium. Its description in RNAcentral is "partial 16S ribosomal RNA". It matches the Rfam family "Bacterial small subunit ribosomal RNA", at positions 30 to 523 of the family's 1533-position model. The record is from RNAcentral.
AUUGAACGCUGGCGGCAUGCUCUACACAUGCAAGUCGAACGGUAACAGGUCUUCGGAUGCUGACGAGUGGCGAACGGGUGAGUAAUGCAUCGGAACGUGCCCAGUCGUGGGGGAUAACGCAGCGAAAGCUGCGCUAAUACCGCAUACGAUCUAUGGAUGAAAGCGGGGGACCGUAAGGCCCCGCGCGAUUGGAGCGGCCGAUGUCAGAUUAGGUAGUUGGUGGGGUAAAGGCCCACCAAGCCAACGAUCUGUAGCUGGUCGUGAGAGGACGACAAGCCACACUGGGACUGAGACACGGCCCAGACUCCUACGGGAGGCAGCAGUGGGGAAUUUUGGACAAUGGGCGCAAGCCUGAUCCAGCAAUGCCGCGUGCAGGAAGAAGGCCUUCGGGUUGUAAACUGCUUUUGUACGGAACGAAACGGCUCUCUCUAAUACAGAGGGCUAAUGACGGUACCGUAAGAAUAAGCACCGGCUAACUACGUGCCAGCAGCCGCCGUAA